Molecule: ribosomal RNA, 402 nt
Filed under: uncultured bacterium
Lineage: Bacteria
Description: bacterial SSU rRNA
Rfam family: Bacterial small subunit ribosomal RNA
Source: RNAcentral
UUUUGGACAAUGGGGGCAACCCUGAUCCAGCAAUGCCGCGUGAGUGAAGAAGGCCUUCGGGUUGUAAAGCUCUUUUGUCAGGGAAGAAACACCGGCUCUAACACAGUCCGGGAAUGACGGUACCUGAAGAAUAAGCACCGGCUAACUACGUGCCAGCAGCCGCGGUAAUACGUAGGGUGCAAGCGUUAAUCUGAAUUACUGGGCGUAAAGCGUGCGCAGGCGGUUAUACAAGACAGGCGUGAAAUCCCCGGGCUUAACCUGGGAAUGGCGCCUGUGACUGUAUAGCUAGAGUGUGUCAGAGGGGGGUAGAAUUCCACGUGUAGCAGUGAAAUGCGUAGAUAUGUGGAGGAAUACCAAUGGCGAAGGCAGCCCCCUGGGAUAACACUGACGCUCAUGCACGAA